AGUAGGAUGGCUGAGAUUAAAAUGAGGUGAUAGAUUGUAAAUCUAUUAAGGGGAUUUAUAUACCCUUCUACUA
Molecule: transfer RNA, 73 nt
Filed under: Kalotermes flavicollis
Lineage: Eukaryota; Metazoa; Arthropoda; Insecta; Blattodea; Kalotermitidae
Description: tRNA-Tyr
Source: RNAcentral